RNAcentral lists this transfer RNA (83 nucleotides) under Ixodes scapularis (black-legged tick). It matches the Rfam family "tRNA". Rfam says of the family: Transfer RNA (tRNA) molecules are approximately 80 nucleotides in length. Their secondary structure includes four short double-helical elements and three loops (D, anti-codon, and T loops). Lineage: Eukaryota; Metazoa; Arthropoda; Arachnida; Ixodida; Ixodidae. The record is from Rfam by way of RNAcentral.
GCAGUUGUGGCCGAGUGGUUAAGGCGAUGGACUAGAAAUCCAUUUAUGGUCUCCUCGCACAGGUUCAAAUCCUCUCGACUGCG